GAGUGGCAGACGGGUGAGUAACACGUAGGAAUCUACCUUGUAGUGGGGAAUAGCUCAACGAAAGUUGGGGUAAAACCGCAUAUACCCUCCGGGGGAAAGCAGCAAUGCGCUAUAAGAGGAGCCUGCGCGCUAUCAGCUAGUUGGUGGGGUAAUGGCCUACCAAGGCUACGACGGCUAGCCGAUGUGAGAGCAUGAUCGGCCACAAGGUUACUGAGACACGGAACCUACACC
This 231-nucleotide ribosomal RNA is filed under the name uncultured bacterium. Its description in RNAcentral is "partial 16S ribosomal RNA". It matches the Rfam family "Bacterial small subunit ribosomal RNA", at positions 93 to 339 of the family's 1533-position model. The record is from RNAcentral.